This 827-nucleotide ribosomal RNA is filed under the name uncultured bacterium. RNAcentral describes it as "bacterial SSU rRNA". It matches the Rfam family "Bacterial small subunit ribosomal RNA", at positions 28 to 853 of the family's 1533-position model. The record is from RNAcentral.
GAUGAACGCUAGCGGCAGGCUUAAUACAUGCAAGUCGUGGGGCAGCAUGAGUAGCAAUACUUGAUGGCGACCGGCAAACGGGUGCGGAACACGUACACAACCUUCCUAUAAGUGGGGAAUAGCCCAGAGAAAUUUGGAUUAAUACCCCGUAACAUAACGAUAUGGCAUCAUAUUGUUAUUAUAGCUUCGGCGCUUAUUGAUGGGUGUGCGGCUGAUUAGAUAGUUGGCGGGGUAACGGCCCACCAAGUCUACGAUCAGUAGCUGAUGUGAGAGCAUGAUCAGCCACACGGGCACUGAGACACGGGCCCGACUCCUACGGGAGGCAGCAGUAAGGAAUAUUGGACAAUGGGCGAAAGCCUGAUCCAGCCAUGCCGCGUGAAGGAUUAAGGUCCUCUGGAUUGUAAACUUCUUUUAUUUGGGACGAAAAAAGGGAAUUCUUUCCCACUUGACGGUACCAGAUGAAUAAGCACCGGCUAACUCCGUGCCAGCAGCCGCGGUAAUACGGAGGGUGCAAGCGUUAUCCGGAUUCACUGGGUUUAAAGGGUGCGUAGGCGGGUAGGUAAGUCAGUGGUGAAAUCCUGGAGCUCAACUCCAGAACUGCCAUUGAUACUAUCUAUCUUGAAUAUUGUGGAGGUAAGCGGAAUAUGUCAUGUAGCGGUGAAAUGCUUAGAUAUGACAUAGAACACCCAUUGCGAAGGCAGCUUACUACGCAUAUAUUGACGCUGAGGCACGAAAGCGUGGGGAUCAAACAGGAUUAGAUACCCUGGUAGUCCACGCCCUAAACGAUGAUUACUCGACAUUUGUGAUACACUAUAAGUGUCUGAGCG